This 1121-nucleotide ribosomal RNA is filed under the name Penicillium restrictum. Its description in RNAcentral is "eukaryotic LSU rRNA". The stretch from base 501 to 1121 matches the Rfam family "Eukaryotic large subunit ribosomal RNA", at positions 1 to 637 of the family's 3401-position model. The record is from RNAcentral. Lineage: Eukaryota; Fungi; Ascomycota; Eurotiomycetes; Eurotiales; Aspergillaceae.
AUUACCGAGUGAGGGCCCUCUGGGUCCAACCUCCCACCCGUGUUUAUCGUACCUUGUUGCUUCGGCGGGCCCGCCUCACGGCCGCCGGGGGGCUUCUGCCCUCGGGCCCGCGCCCGCCGAAGACACCAUUGAACGCUGUCUGAAGAUUGCAGUCUGAGCAAUUAGCUAAAUAAGUUAAAACUUUCAACAACGGAUCUCUUGGUUCCGGCAUCGAUGAAGAACGCAGCGAAAUGCGAUACGUAAUGUGAAUUGCAGAAUUCAGUGAAUCAUCGAGUCUUUGAACGCACAUUGCGCCCCCUGGUAUUCCGGGGGGCAUGCCUGUCCGAGCGUCAUUGCUGCCCUCAAGCACGGCUUGUGUGUUGGGCCUCCGUCCUCCUCCCGGGGGACGGGCCCGAAAGGCAGCGGCGGCACCGCGUCCGGUCCUCGAGCGUAUGGGGCUUCGUCACCCGCUCUUGUAGGCCCGGCCGGCGCUUGCCGACACAUCAAUCUUUUUUCCAGGUUGACCUCGGAUCAGGUAGGGAUACCCGCUGAACUUAAGCAUAUCAAUAAGCGGAGGAAAAGAAACCAACAGGGAUUGCCCCAGUAACGGCGAGUGAAGCGGCAAGAGCUCAAAUUUGAAAGCUGGCCCCCUCGGGGUCCGCAUUGUAAUUUGCAGAGGAUGCUUCGGGAGUGGCCCCCAUCUAAGUGCCCUGGAACGGGCCGUCAUAGAGGGUGAGAAUCCCGUAUGGGAUGGGGUGUCCGCGACCAUGUGAAGCUCCUUCAACGAGUCGAGUUGUUUGGGAAUGCAGCUCUAAAUGGGUGGUAAAUUUCAUCUAAAGCUAAAUAUUGGCCGGAGACCGAUAGCGCACAAGUAGAGUGAUCGAAAGAUGAAAAGCACUUUGAAAAGAGAGUUAAAAAGCACGUGAAAUUGUUGAAAGGGAAGCGCUUGCGACCAGACUCGCCUGCGGGGUUCAGCCGGUAUUCGUACCGGUGUACUUCCCCGUGGGCGGGCCAGCGUCGGUUUGGGCGGCCGGUCAAAGGCCCUCGGAAUGUAACGCCUCUCGGGGCGUCUUAUAGCCGAGGGUGCCAUGCGGCCAGCCCGGACCGAGGAACGCGCUUCGGCACCGACGCUGGCGUAAUGG